Molecule: ribosomal RNA, 482 nt
Filed under: uncultured bacterium
Lineage: Bacteria
Description: partial 16S ribosomal RNA
Rfam family: Bacterial small subunit ribosomal RNA
Source: RNAcentral
AUUGAACGCUGGCGGCAUGCUUUACACAUGCAAGUCGAACGGUAACAGGCCGCAAGGUGCUGACGAGUGGCGAACGGGUGAGUAAUGCAUCGGAACGUGCCCAGUCGUGGGGGAUAACUACUCGAAAGAGUAGCUAAUACCGCAUACGAUCUAUGGAUGAAAGCGGGGGACGGUAAGGCCUCGCGCGAUUGGAGCGGCCGAUGUCAGAUUAGGUAGUUGGUGGGGUAAAGGCGCACCAAGCCAACGAUCUGUAGCUGGUCUGAGAGGACGACCAGCCACACGGGGACUGAGACACGGCCCAGACUCCUACGGGAGGCAGCAGUGGGGAAUUUUGGACAAUGGGCGCAAGCCUGAUCCAGCAAUGCCGCGUGCAGGAAGAAGGCCUUCGGGUUGUAAACUGCUUUUGUACGGAACGAAACGGCUCUGGUUAAUACCCGGGGAUAAUGACGGUACCGUAAGAAUAAGCACCGGCUAACUACGUG